GACGAACGCUGGCGGCGUGCCUAACACAUGCAAGUCGAACGGAAAGGCCCUGCUUUUGUGGGGUGCUCGAGUGGCGAACGGGUGAGUAACACGUGAGUAACCUGCCCUUGACUUUGGGAUAACUUCAGGAAACUGGGACUAAUACCGGAUAGGAGCUCCUGCUGCAUGGUGGGGGUUGGAAAGUUUCGGCGGUUGGGGAUGGACUCGCGGCUUAUCAGCUUGUUGGUGGGGUAGUGGCUUACCAAGGCUUUGACGGGUAGCCGGCCUGAGAGGGUGACCGGCCACAUUGGGACUGAGAUACGGCCCAGACUCCUACGGGAGGCAGCAGUGGGGAAUAUUGCACAAUGGGCGGAAGCCUGAUGCAGCAACGCCGCGUGCGGGAUGACGGCCUUCGGGUUGUAAACCGCUUUCGCCUGUGACGAAGCGUGAGUGACGGUAAUGGGUAAAGAAGCACCGGCUAACUACGUG
RNAcentral lists this ribosomal RNA (468 nucleotides) under uncultured bacterium. RNAcentral's name for it is "partial 16S ribosomal RNA". It matches the Rfam family "Bacterial small subunit ribosomal RNA", at positions 28 to 507 of the family's 1533-position model. The record is from RNAcentral.